UACAUGCAAGUCGAGCGGACCGACGGGAGCUUGCUCCCUUAGGUCAGCGGCGGACGGGUGAGUAACACGUGGGUAACCUGCCUGUAAGACUGGGAUAACUCCGGGAAACCGGGGCUAAUACCGGAUGCUUGAUUGAACCGCAUGGUUCAAUCAUAAAAGGUGGCUUUUAGCUACCACUUACAGAUGGACCCGCGGCGCAUUAGCUAGUUGGUGAGGUAACGGCUCACCAAGGCGACGAUGCGUAGCCGACCUGAGAGGGUGAUCGGCCACACUGGGACUGAGACACGGCCCAGACUCCUACGGGAGGCAGCAGUAGGGAAUCUUCCGCAAUGGACGAAAGUCUGACGGAGCAACGCCGCGUGAGUGAUGAAGGUUUUCGGAUCGUAAAACUCUGUUGUUAGGGAAGAACAAGUACCGUUCGAAUAGGGCGGCACCUUGACGGUACCUAACCAGAAAGCCACGGCUAACUACGUGCCAGCAGCCGCGGUAAUACGUAGGUGGCAAGCGUUGUCCGGAAUUAUUGGGCGUAAAGCGCGCGCAGGCGGUUUCUUAAGUCUGAUGUGAAAGCCCCCGGCUCAACCGGGGAGGGUCAUUGGAAACUGGGGAACUUGAGUGCAGAAGAGGAGAGUGGAAUUCCACGUGUAGCGGUGAAAUGCGUAGAGAUGUGGAGGAACACCAGUGGCGAAGGCGACUCUCUGGUCUGUAACUGACGCUGAGGCGCGAAAGCGUGGGGAGCGAACAGGAUUAGAUACCCUGGUAGUCCACGCCGUAAACGAUGAGUGCUAAGUGUUAGAGGGUUUCCGCCCUUUAGUGCUGCAGCAAACGCAUUAAGCACUCCGCCUGGGGAGUACGGUCGCAAGACUGAAACUCAAAGGAAUUGACGGGGGCCCGCACAAGCGGUGGAGCAUGUGGUUUAAUUCGAAGCAACGCGAAGAACCUUACC
Molecule: ribosomal RNA, 943 nt
Filed under: Bacillus licheniformis
Lineage: Bacteria; Bacillati; Bacillota; Bacilli; Caryophanales; Bacillaceae
Description: bacterial SSU rRNA
Rfam family: Bacterial small subunit ribosomal RNA
Source: RNAcentral